RNAcentral lists this non-coding RNA (27 nucleotides) under Cricetulus griseus (Chinese hamster). The record is from RNAcentral. Lineage: Eukaryota; Metazoa; Chordata; Mammalia; Rodentia; Cricetidae.
AACAGGCAGAGCUCGCCCUGCAGGAGG